UGUAAUAAUUCUGACAAUAGCACUACAGAAGGCCUAAAUCUAGAUUUUUUAUGGAGACUUUCCAGAACAUUCCAGUACUGGCAGUAGGCCUACUGUACGAUGCAAAAUACCAAAUUUGGUAAUAGAACAACAGCAGGAACACGUAAACUGCGGACAUGGACUCACUUGGUGGACAGGGGAGCAAAUGUGUAAAUGGGACAUAUACAUCUUAAAAACGAUUGAAAACAGAUAAUUUAAUCGGAUAACAUUUUUUCCAGACUUGUUUGACAAGCUACCAUCUUGAUUUUCUUCUGGCUACGUGUCACAAUACGGCCCGUCAAAAUAUGCCCUGGAGCAUUUCUUAGCAUUAUUGGAAAUAUCCAGACUUCUCAACACAGGUCUUGAUGCCGAGACAUUGACCACAUGUGUAAGACUAUGUGAGAGUGGAGUUAACCCUGAGGCUCUGGCUCUCGUCAUACAGGAGCUAAGGAGGGAGACAGCUGCAGUCAAAGCUGCAGAAAGCUGAGAACAACUACAUGGAAAGAGUUAUAGAAUGGAGAGUUUCUUUCAAGAAUUUCCAACAAGUGUAUCAUGAAAGACAUGGAGUUGGAGUUGGUGCUUAUACAAUUUGUAUGUGGUAACUGUGUACACUAUAUUUUACACUAGACUGACAGACAUGCUACAUGCCUGGCAGUACCACUACAUUUACGUGUGUAUGCUACAAGAUCAGUGUAAUCUGAGGAUUUACAAAGAUUAGGAUGGAACUUGCAAGAUAUAGUACAUUUCAAGAAACUGUUAAGUCUCCAAUAUCAUGAUUCUGCUUAGGACAGAAGACUUUGAAGAAACUGUUAAUGAAUAUCUAGAAAGCAUUGUGCAUUUUGCACUGUCCUUUCACAUAGCAGGGUCUGCAUGUGCAUGAAAGUUAAUCUUGGUGAUACUAAAUGGAGCCAGGGGCAUUAAAUUAAUUAGUAGUGCGUGCAAAAAUUUAAAGUUUAAUUUCCAUCAUUCAAAAGGUUAUUAAAGCAACUUUUAAGUGUA
Molecule: long non-coding RNA, 1017 nt
Organism: Pecten maximus
Lineage: Eukaryota; Metazoa; Mollusca; Bivalvia; Pectinida; Pectinidae
Exons: 3
Source: RefSeq, a predicted model, not a curated record